RNAcentral lists this long non-coding RNA (10123 nucleotides) under Homo sapiens (human). RNAcentral's name for it is "HSALNT0053201". Lineage: Eukaryota; Metazoa; Chordata; Mammalia; Primates; Hominidae. The record is from RNAcentral.
CGUGCCUCAGCCUCCCAAGCAGCUGGGAUUACAGGCAUGUGCCACCCAUGCCCAGCUAAUUUUUGUAUUUUUAGUAAAGACCAGGUUUCACCACGUUGGCCAGGCUGGUCUCGAACUCCUGGCCUCAAGAGAUCUGCCCACCUCGGCCUCCCAAAGUGCUGAGAUUACAGGCAUAAGCCAUCGCACCAGGCCUCAGAAAUUUGUACACUUGAUCUUAGCCAAAAGGCCAAGAAGUGAUGGGCCUCAGAAAUUUUUAAAGAUGGAUUGAGAAGUUAAAAAUUGCCCAUCUAUGCUUCCUUAUUGCCUUAACUUUCUGUCACAAAAUAAGGCUGUGACCUGCAGAGUUACACCUUCUGGUGCCUGGGUAGAAGCAGCAAAUCUCCCAAGGCACUCCAGCUGUAGCUGGUCCCCAUAGUCAUGAUGGCGGGCAUGCUGACAUUCCUAAUUAAAGGACCUUGGUUGCAAUUCCUUGCUCAAAUUAUCCAUAGACACUUUAUUACAUGCAGGUUCAUUCUAUGGAUGUGUUUCUAGCAAUACCUUGUUCUGCUUGGGUCGUUGUUUACUGCCUACCAAUUUUGUCCAUGUCUAGCCCAACCUGAGCUAACUGGUGGGGUGGGGUGGGCCUCCCCCACUGACUGAAGUUUGACACCUUCAUCUCCACCUAAAUGGAGGGCUCAAAACCAUGUUAACUGGGAACACAGCAAGGGAGAUGAAAAUAUUAUUUUUCUUUAAACUCCUAACUUACUACUGUUUCCCUGACUUUAACAAGAAUCACAUCAAGUGCGUCUUGAAAAAUACAGACUCCUAGGUUGUACCCCAAGGUUUCUCAUCUAAGAGGCCUUGGAUGGGACCCAGCAAUCUUAAGAUCAAAUUUGGGAAGUACUGUUGCAGAAACUCUGCAAAGCAUGCUUUAUUUCCCUCCCACCCACCCUAUCCUCACCCCGCCAAAUUAUAGUGGUGUAAAUACUGUUUGCCUUAAUAGGAUGUAAACUCCAAAGGGCAGGGAUCAAGUUUGUCAUAUCCACCUUUGCAUCCCAGUUCCUGACACAAUCAUGAUAUGGCUCAGUUCCUAACACUCUGCUAAGAGAAACACAUAGUCUCAUAUCCCAGAGAAAAUGGUGAGGAUCUGAUGUCUCAAGGAUAGCUCUUCCCCAGAUCUUCCUUUAUCCCUACCAUGAGGCACUAUAUUUUUGGUCUGGUUGUAAAACAUCAGGUAGAUUCCUGAGAAGGGCGCAUCUCGAAGGAGAGUUGCUGUCAGGCCACUGAAGAGGCCCCGGUGCCCCUCACUGUGAUAGAUGCUCCUCAGGGCAGCGUAGAUACUCUCAUAGCCAUAUUUCCCACUCUGCAAAGAGAGCACAGAACCAGUGACUCGCAUGGAGGCGCUGCAUUUCAGCACUGAACAAGCAGACUGCAGGUUAUGGGGCAUUACCAUGGGAUCUAGUUCACAUAUGGCUUGUCUGACCACAUCAGACUCUAUGUUAGAUUACAAAUCAGGAGUUGACAUCGGUGGUCACUCCCCAGGAGCCCAGUGGCUAAGCCGAACUAUCCUGAGGCCCUAAAGUGGUUGAACUCACCUCAUAGCGCGUCUUGAUUACAGUGAUAGGUGACAUACAGACCCCUGCAACAGAGCGAGAGCCCACCCCCAGCAUGACUGACUCCAGGGCGGUUGGGGGAUGGCCUCGCAAGAAAUACUGCUUCAAAGAGUAGAGAGUGCCAAAGUAGAUUCCAACGCCAGGGACACAUCUCACAAUGGACUGCAGAGAAGGUCAGGGAGAAAAGAAAAUCAAAGACCAAACACUUUAAGUAUUAUCUUAGCUGGGUUUUCCCAAAAGACCCCAAGAUGAUUCGCAUGCAAGUGCUUUGUUUAAGGUGUGGAAGGAACACCAAUAGGGAAGUGGGGGACAUGAGAUAGGAGAGAAGGCAGUCAAUAAACGAUGUUAUAAAACCAGUUUCUGCUGUGGGCAACUUAAUCCCACUGGGGAACUCUGGGAAUCGGUGUAGAACACACCUCAGAGUUAUCCCUCCAACUGAGUGGGGAGGGACAUGGGAUUUUAAACACCAACUCUCAUCUUUCAGUGGUUGAGGACUCUGUGGGUUUGGAAAUGCACAGUGCUGUGGGUUAGGAAAUCAACAUCACUUCUGUGGUCUCCUUGCUAAAAAUGUAGAACUAAAUCUAAUCACAAAGAAACUGCAAAUAAACCUACAGUGAGUUAUAUAACUGGCCUAUACUCUUGAAAACAAAACACAAAAUUACUCUGAAGUACAUUACUGGGAUAAUAGAGAAAUCAGUGUAUGGAUUUCUGAUUUGGGUUUGGGCUGGGCACUAAUUCCUUGGCGUGAGUCCCUAAGGCCAGAAAAAGCCUUUGAGCAAAGAAAUGCUGGUGUGGAGGUACCAUCCCACUUUUACUGAAGUGAUAAGAGCAAGGGCAUUCUGACAGGUGGGACAUUAGGUACCUAUGCUGUAGAGACUAUGCUGCACUAAUAAAUCACAUCUAAGCAUAAUGUGCAAAUGCAACAUAUCCCUGAGCCUUCAAACAGAAGUUAGUUGUAGUAUGAGAGAUAAGACCACAUAGGUACUCCCACCACUUCUGACUCUCACAUAUCCUUAAGAGCUGGUAAGGUAGAUGAGAAAUAGCUGGUUAUUAAGGAGUGGAUGCUAGGGAACCUAGACCCAGAUGGCAGCUUACAGGGGACAUCCCUUUCCAAAGGCCCAAAAGACUCUCCGUGCGAACCACCUUCAAGAGUACAGCCAACAUCCCAACACGUCUAGACCUGAAAGCAGACAAAAUGGAGACAGGAAGGAAAAAAUCACUUAGAUCACUUCCUCAUAAAACAAUUCCCCACUCAAACACUUCCUUUAUAGACUCAUUUUUAGGACACUUAACAAUCUCUACAAUGCACCUUGGAGAUACUCUAUGUGUUCGUAGGUUGGCACACACAAAACAGACAAUAGAGGCUGGGUGCAGUGGCUCAUGCCUGUAAUCUCAGCACUUUGGAAGGCUGAGGUGGGCAGAUCACUCGAGGCCAGAAGUUUGAGACCAGCCUGGCCAACAUGGCGAAACCCCAUCUCUACCAAAAUUACAAAAAUUAGCUGGGUAUGGUGGCGAGCACCUGCAAUCCCAGCUACCUGGGAGGCUGAGGCAGGAGAAUCCCUUGAACCUGGGAGGCAGAGGUUGCAGUGAGCUGAGAUCGCACCUCUGCACUCCAAUCUGGGCAACAGAGCGAGCAUCUGCCUCAAAAAACAAAUAAAACAAAAACAAAAACAGAUAAUACUGAUGUUAUUUCCAGAAAAUCCCCUGGUACUCUCAUGCCAGGCAAUACAGUUAUAACAUCACAAGCUAACACAAUAAAGUGUAAAUGUCACUGAGCCGAUUCCAGGAAGCUGCUCAGGAACGGACCCCAUUUAAUUAAAAAGAAAUGUCAAAUAUAAAAACAAUUCAGAGAACAUAUGAAAGUUGGGCAUGGCCUGUGUUUCUCUCUGAACAUCCAACAGAAUGGAAGUUGACUUAACACAGUAAAGAUGUUCCUGUGUCUGAGAAGUUGCUGAAAUCAGUUCCCCAAUGAAAUGCAGGGCCUACCCAUGAUCUGAGGGCUGGAGGGUUUGCAGGCGUGUUUUAAGGAGAUCCAGAGGUUGGAAAAGGAGGGUAGAGCAGGUCCCACUGAUGGAGCCACACAGGAAAGCCUUGAUCACCGGAUGUAACUGCAGGAUAAGACAAUAUUGUGUCAGUAGCUCUGCCUGUGUGAGCCUCACCUUUCUCUAUACCUGACCAGCAAAUUCCUUUAUAAUGGUCUCUUAGACACUUACCUGGUGGUGCCUCAUGUUUUCUUCAUACCUCGGAGAAGGAAAAAGUAUAGCCAGAAAUUAAAAAUACUGCAAUGUUAUUGAGGACAUUGGAUGCUGCAAGAGGUAUCUCUGGUCUUCGUAUUGCUGAUAGACAUAUUGCUCAGUGGGAGCAAAACUAUUUCCAUGCCACUGACCACUCUUCCCUAUUUGUUCUGACUCAAAAAGUUACUGGUCAUCUCCCUAUCUUUGCAAAAGCAAAGUCAAUUGAAUGCAGUGCUUUCACUUUGAACUGAUGAUGUGCAGACUCCCUUCGCUCUAAGACCUAUAGGUAUUUAUAGGACCAAGCCAAAGCAAAUGAAACCUUAAGCUCAACCACUGUGUAAAAUGUAAGUGCCACUUCCUGUAGAACCUAGUAUUUCCUUCAUUUAAAACUUUCCCCUUACCAUCUCACUGGGCCCUAAGCAGAUCACACAGUCCUACAGACCAGUAGCCUCCCCUGGCUUUGCUGCUUCUCCUUCAACCCAUGAACCGUCAUAUACACUGGCUAAUCUACAGACACCACCUGGAAGGGUGGAACUCCUUCAAAGACUAAAUAUACCUCCCUUAGUUCCAGGAGCUGCAGCUUCCAGCACUGGUGCUAUCAUUACAGGACAGCAUCCUUUCUCCAGACCCCUAGAACCCAGUAGUAUCACAAAUGACUGUGAAAAGGUACUUAAAAUCCAACCAGUGACCUUCUUCCCCUUCCCUAAAAUAAAUAAAUAAAUAAAUAAACAAAUAGCUAUCUUCUCCAAAAAUGUUUGGCAAAUUCAUCCCCAAAGACCUCUUCCCUUAUUAAGUGGCAUUUGCACUAUUAUUUUUUAAAUAAAUGACACAUUGUGGCCCUAAAACAUUAAGAUGAAUAUAUAUAAAGUUUCCAUUACACAUCACAUAACUACUUACCUGGAACUGAAAUAUUUGUAAUCUGCAGUAUUUGCUUAACAGAGAAGAGAGUGUAUCUCAAAUUCCACCAAAGAAGCCAGUUAUAACUGGAAUUCCUCAUAAGACUGUUGGAGGCAGGGGGUGGGGGGAACUAAGGUCAUUAAAAACUGGAGUUUACAACCACGAUGCAAUAACUUCUGAAGUACCAAAGGGUGGUCUGAUAAGACAACAGGUAAAACCAAGUAAGGUGUGCGUAUUUUAGCAAGUCUGUAUCUACAUCAACUCCCUCUCCCCAAGAGGUGUCCUGCUCUUCUGCCAACCAAUAUUCUCAUGAGUUCUGUGUUUCUAGUCUCUCCCCAAGACUUUGUGGCAUUAAUGAGCCCCCCUUCUUCACACACUGGGUCUCUCGCUCCCACUGGCAUCUCCUCUUCUGCCAGGCAACAGGCUCCAAAGCAUCCAUCUUUCCAGCCUGACGCUACACCAUCUCCACUUGCUCUGUGCCAGUCCCUCCGCAGGCCCCCCCAGUUUGCUAUCCAGCUAAAUCUCCUCCACUAACACAGCCUCUGAGGGCUCACCAAGCACCUGCUGCACCCCAGGACCCCGUUCCUGUCCCUGCCCUUAUCUUACUUGGCCUCUCUGGUACAUGCCAUAUAGCUGAGUGCCUCUCCUCACAGUUUCUGGUUUCUCUCUCCUUCUCUUCUUUGGCCUGCCCUUCACAUAGGACUGCUCCUCUUAUCUCCUUUCAGAGUAACCUCACCCAUAUCCAGGCUUCACACACAUGCUGGUAAUGCCCACAUCUCCAGCCCAGGCUGGCCUCUCCCCAGACUCUGCUAAUGUCUCCUUGUCUUCCCUCAAAUGGCCCACAGGCAUCUCAAAUUCAACAUGUCCAAAAUGGAAACUUGGUCAACAGUUCUCCACACACUUGCCUCUUCUCCAAUCCACACUGGGAUACUCCAGGAAUCCAGGUUGGAAACCUCAGAGACACAUAAAACUCACCAUGCCUGCUGCUACAUGACCAAGUCCCACUGACCAAGCCCUCAAUCUUCCCAGUCUGGCCUCCACUGAUCCAUCCUAAUGACCUCUGCAGCAGUCUCCAGCCUCAACUAUGCCAACCCACCCUCCACUCUGCUCCCAGAGUAGCACUGGGCGAGGCAUCUAUAGACACCACCUCAAAAUCUCAUAGCAUCUUAUGAGCUAGGUAUUUUAAACCCGUUUUACAGAUUAAACUGGAGCUCACAGAGGUUACAAAUGUGUCCUAUGUCACAGGGGUUGAAGCCACUGGCCAGGACUUAAAGUUCAUACUCUUUUCACCAUACCACCCAGUCUAAAGUGAAAAUCCAGGAUACUUAGGCCACUCAGUGCAUUCCACUAUUCACCACCACUCCCUCCUUGAAAUGCUCUCUUCCUUUGGCUUCAGAGAUUAAUACUGUCCUGGGUUUCCUCCCACUUCUCUGGCCUCUCCCUUAAAUGAACCAUACUCCCAUGGCUCUUCAUCCACUUCCAAGGGUUCCAUUUCCACCCUCCCCUCCACACUCUCAGCCUCUCGCUGGAGCUCAGUCUCACACAGCCACGUACUCAGAUGGCCACCUCAGAUGAUGUUUCCAAACCUGAACUUACCUUUCUCCCACACCUCCGACCAGCUCCUCCUCCAAGGUGCCCCAUCCCAGUGAAUGCCAUGCCAUUUCUCUAGCACCCCAGCCAGAAACCUGAGCACCAUCCUUGGACUUGGCCUCUCCACACUUGUUCACUCUAUCUCCAAAACAGCUCUCAAAUCCACCAAUCCAUUCCAGCUGAGAACCCUGUUAUCUCUUGCCUUGGUGACGGCCACCAAUUUUUUACCCAUUUGUCAUCUAUAUGACCCCUCUAAUCCACUCUUUACCCUGAAGCCAUAGUCAUCUUCUGUUUUAUUAUUUAUUUAGAGACAAGGUCUUGCUCUGAUGCCUAGGCUGGAGUGUAGUGGCACAAUCAUGGCUCACUGCCAACCAUGACCUCUCAGGCUCAGGUGAUCCUCCCACCUCAGCCUCACGAGUAGCUGGGACCACAGGUGUGUGUCACCGUGCCCAGCUAAUUUUUUUGUAGAGACGGGGUUUCGCUAUGUUGCACAGGCUGGUCUCAAACUCCUGGACUCAAGCAAUCUGCUCACCUCUGCCUCCCAAAGUGUUAGCAUUAUAGGUGUGGGCCACCAUGCCCCGCCUGAGUCAUCUUUUAAAACUGCAAAUUUGAUCAUGCUGCUUUCAGAAAUAAAACCCUUCAAUGAAAGAUAAUGUUUUGUGAAAUUUGAAGUUACUAGCUUAAAAACAAGACCAAAAAAAAAGAUGGAAUAAAAAUACAAGUAAUGACAAAUGUAUUAGGAGCUACAGAGUAUCCCACAAAUUUGUCAUUAAUACUAAUUGAAUUAUAAUUUUAAAAAACCCAACCAAACCAAUACCCUUUAAUUGGUUCAUAUUCCUCUCAGGAUAAAGUCCAAACUGCUGGUUGCAGGGCCUUUCAUGUAUCACAGGGCUCCUGCUAACCGUUUUGGCCUAUGUUCUCACCCUCCCACUAACACACUCUGCAGCCAUACUGGAGGACUCCGCCUUACUUUCACCUCUGAAAACUCUGACAUGUUGUUAUGCCCUAGCACCGGUCUUGCUCCCUAACUCCCCCAUGUCCAAGUUCAGUGCCUCUCCUUCCGGCUUCUACAGCAACACCUGUCCCCAUCUCCCUUAUGACUGCGUGUCAAAGACAGAAUAGUCACAACUCCUGCCUGUCUUGUUCAUGGUGAUAUCUCAAGAACUGACCUCGGAGCCUGGUGCACAGUAGGUGUUCAGCAGUGACAGCGGAAUGAAUCUUACCACCUAACAGGAAACCUUAUGCUCUCCCUUUGAGCACAAUCCCACAUGAUAGGGCUCGGUGGGCCCUGCAUGACUCAUCCCAGGAUGGGUUAAUCUCCCCCACCUCUCUCCAGGCCCCUUGCUCCAGCAAGGCUAUAGGAAUGACCUGCAGUUAGUUUCUGGGCAGUUAUGUUAGGCGCUGCUUCCCCAGUGCUCACACAGGUGCUGUGUGGAAUUUGUUUUAAAACAAAUUUGCUGCUGUCCUUGACCUUCCCACCCUUGAUUGCAGGAAAUAUCUUCUUAACGUCUUUUAUUUCACAGCACAGUGAUUAGACAUGUUAUUGGCUCAAGUUAUUGAGCCAAUAACUUUUUUAGCUUUGUACUUUUCCCAGUCCAUUAGCACAGAGCAGAUGUUAUUUAUACUAGCAGUAUAGAUCAACUUCUAAUAGGCAAAAACAAGACAACAACAACAACAAAAACCAUCCCAACAGGUAAUACUGAAUGGUCUUAAGAUUUUUGUCAAUGGUGAAUGGCACACAUCCUUUGCGAGUGAACUUAACUUUUAAAAAGUAGCUCAAGGCCAAGCGCGGUGGCUCACACUUGUAAUCCUAGCACUUUAGGAGGCCGAGGCAGACGGAUCACUUGAGGUCAGGAGUUCAAGACCAGCCUGGCCAACAUGGUGAAACCCUCUCUCUACUAAAAAUACAAAAACUAGCCGGGCGUGGUGGCGCACGCCUGUAAUCCCAGCAACGUGGGAGACUGAGACAGGAAAAAUACUUGAACCCGGGAGUCAGAGGUUGCAGUUGAGCCGAGAUCACGCCACUGCACUCCAGCGCGGGCGACAGGGCGAGACUCUGUCUCAAAAAAAAAAAAAAAGAAAAAAGAAAAGAAAGCUCAAAAAUAUAUUCAAGGUAAAUAAAAAAGUAGUUUCUUUUUAAGGGGAGAAAGAAGAGGGCAUAAACAAUAAUACGCACACGAAAUAAGUAGCACAUAAGAGUACAAACUGGAUCCACAAGCAAUUCCUACUGCCCUGAAAAAACUAUCCUAAGUCCAAUUCACAUCUGGAGGCGAGGGCUGGAGAGCCCUGAAAAAGGUAAGCAGGUUUUCAAAGACGUCAACGUAAAGUCGCCACCGCCGCCGUCUCCGCCUUUAAGGAUUAAAAAAAAAAAUAAAAGCCGCCCCUACCUCGGGCGCAAGACCUCAGAGGGAGAGCUGCGGCAGCUGCAGUGGCCUCAGGCCUUUAGCGUCUAAAGACUGGUUGCACCCCGACUCCACCUACCGGGCAACCACGCCGCCAGCCCCGCCUCCGCCUCCACCAAUAGCGGCCCGGCGGCCCGGGCACGAUGACCAAUCGAACGCCGGAGGAGGCGUGGCGUCGCUGGGGGACCACGCGCCGUCCCAACAGGCUGGAAGGGUGCCGCCACGACUGGCCCCUCCAGGUAGGCCGCCGCCCGCGGGCGCACAGCGCUACCCGGCCAGCUCGCUGCGGCAUCAACGGCUUCUCAGCGUCAGCGCUAUUAUCAGGCCUUGUGACCGUCCCAAAUCUGCCCGGGUGCCCUUCCACCUGGCAGCCUACUCGCACCUUGUGGGGGCCGCGCGGGCACACUCCCCGGCACGCGUCCAGUCCAGGCCCCGGCAAUUCCGCCCUUUACCGGGACAUCGGCCCUACAGCGCCUGCCCCCAGGGCUGGCCUGCAGCUCCUGGCCUCUCCUCACUCCCUGCCCCCUUCUCAAUUCCCUUAGUCAGACUCCUCUCCCGCCGCAUCCUAAAUCCUGAGCGCACCCUGGGGCGCGGAAAAGGGUAGCCGAGCCUUAGCAACGCCCCGAAUUCUCCGGCCCGAGCCCGCGGUUCGGACCCCUGCCCUUCCUUCCCCGCAGUGCCCUCACCAUAAGCGUUUCCACCGUGUCUCCGACAUCUUGGGGUUGCAGCAGCGACGGACGACCAUAUUUCCCUUUAAAUGCUGAAAAUUUAGUGUGGAAUUGAUAUGUACUGUAUGCAUAAACCACACGCUGGAUGUCUAAGACUGGUGAGCAAGUCUUGACAUCUGGAGGAGUUUCCACCAUCCAAGAAGGAAAAGGCAAAGGUCCACAUGGGAAGCUGGAGGUGAAUGGGAGAGACAGAGGCUGCUCAGAUAGGGGCUUUGGUUUCCUGUCUGCCUGUCAGAGCAGGAGGAGGUGGGCCUUGCAGCACCUUGCAUCUGCGUCACUUCAUUUGUAAGAAGAUGGCUGGAAUGGUGAAAAGCACACAGCUAUAUCAUUACCUCCAGAUAUUGAAAGAGGACAUCUGAACCUGUGUGAUGUUGUAGAAAGAAGAUUGUCUAGGGUGUCAAAGCAGACAGAUGCCAGUUUGUGCUCAUCCUUUACCAGACUGGUGCCUACAGUGAGUCACACUUGUUAAGUACAGUGUGGUAAGUAAGAAUUCAGGUUCCAGAGUCAGACUGCAGCUCCAGUUCCUGAACUGUGUAAUUUGGGAGAGACACUCAGCUUUUCUGAGCCUCCUUAUCCUCAUCCGUAAAAUGAGGACAAUUACUAGCAUUGCUGGAGGAUUAAACAAAAUAAUAAAUAGAAGGCACUUACUUAGCACAGGUCCUGGCACAUGGUAAACAUUU